Molecule: ribosomal RNA, 510 nt
Filed under: uncultured bacterium
Lineage: Bacteria
Description: partial 16S ribosomal RNA
Rfam family: Bacterial small subunit ribosomal RNA
Source: RNAcentral
GACGAACGCUGGCGGCGUGCUUAACACAUGCAAGUCGAACGAAGAGCGAUGGAAGCUUGCUUCUCUCAAUCUUAGUGGCGAACGGGUGAGUAACGCGUAAUCAACCUGCCCUUCAGAGGGGGACAACAGUUGGAAACGACUGCUAAUACCGCAUACGAUCUAAUCUCGGCAUCGAGGAUAGAUGAAAGGUGGCCUCUACAUGUAAGCUAUCACUGAAGGAGGGGAUUGCGUCUGAUUAGCUAGUUGGAGGGGUAACGGCCCACCAAGGCGAUGCUCAGUAGCCGGUCUGAGAGGAUGAACGGCCACAUUGGGACUGAGACACGGCCCAGACUCCUACGGGAGGCAGCAGUGGGGAAUCUUCCGCAAUGGACGAAAGUCUGACGGAGCAACGCCGCGUGAGUGAUGACGGCCUUCGGGUUGUAAAGCUCUGUUAAUCGGGACGAAAGGCCUUCUUGCGAAUAGUGAGAAGGAUUGACGGUACCGGAAUAGAAAGCCACGGCUAACUACGUG